GUGCUUGCCUCGGCAGCACAUAUACUAAAAUUGGAAAGAUACAGAGAUGAUUAGCAUAUCCCCUGAUCAAGUGCUCCAUUUUUUGAGGAUAUAAAAUAAUAU
Molecule: small nuclear RNA, 102 nt
Filed under: Sorex araneus (European shrew)
Lineage: Eukaryota; Metazoa; Chordata; Mammalia; Eulipotyphla; Soricidae
Source: RNAcentral